UCCCUGGUGGUCCAGUGGUUAAGACUCUGCCCUUCUCCUGCAGGGGGUGCAGGUUCAACCCCUGCUCUGGGAA
Molecule: transfer RNA, 73 nt
Filed under: Ovis aries (sheep)
Lineage: Eukaryota; Metazoa; Chordata; Mammalia; Artiodactyla; Bovidae
Rfam family: tRNA
About the family: Transfer RNA (tRNA) molecules are approximately 80 nucleotides in length. Their secondary structure includes four short double-helical elements and three loops (D, anti-codon, and T loops).
Source: Rfam by way of RNAcentral